This 75-nucleotide transfer RNA is filed under the name Bacillus methanolicus. RNAcentral describes it as "tRNA-Arg". It matches the Rfam family "tRNA". From Rfam's summary of the family: Transfer RNA (tRNA) molecules are approximately 80 nucleotides in length. Lineage: Bacteria; Bacillati; Bacillota; Bacilli; Caryophanales; Bacillaceae. The record is from RNAcentral. RNAcentral also lists the same sequence under 1 other name.
GCCCUCGUGGUGCAACGGAUAGCACGCAAGAUUCCGGUUCUUGAAAUGUGGGUUCGAUUCCUGCCGAGGGCGCUA